AGGACGAACGCUGGCGGCGUGCUUAACACAUGCAAGUCGAGCGGAAAGGCCCUUCGGGGUACUCGAGCGGCGAACGGGUGAGUAACACGUGAGCAACCUGCCCCUGGCUCUGGGAUAGCUCCGGGAAACCGGGAUUAAUACCGGACAUGACCUUCUCCUGCAUGGGAGUUGGUGGAAAGUUUUUCGGCCAGGGAUGGGCUCGCGGCCUAUCAGCUUGUUGGCAGGGUAAUGGCCUACCAAGGCGACGACGGGUAGCCGGCCUGAAAGGGCGACCGGCCACACUGGGACUGAGACACGGCCCAGACUCCUACGGGAGGCAGCAGUGGGGAAUAUUGCGCAAUGGGCGAAAGCCUGACGCAGCGACGCCGCGUGCGGGAUGAAGGCCUUCGGGUUGUAAACCGCUUUCAGCAGGGACGAAACCAGACGGUACCUGCAGAAGAAGCGCCGGCUAACUACGCGCCAGCAGCCGC
This 470-nucleotide ribosomal RNA is filed under the name uncultured bacterium. RNAcentral's name for it is "SSU rRNA". It matches the Rfam family "Bacterial small subunit ribosomal RNA", at positions 26 to 518 of the family's 1533-position model. The record is from RNAcentral.